Molecule: ribosomal RNA, 1161 nt
Filed under: Candidatus Doudnabacteria bacterium RIFCSPLOWO2_01_41_7
Lineage: Bacteria; Candidatus Doudnaibacteriota
Source: RNAcentral
GACGUCAAAUCAGCGUGGUUUUUACACCCUGGGCGACACACGUGCUACAAUGGGUAGGAACAAAGGGACGCAAUACCGUAAGGUGGAGCAAAUCCUCUCAAAAACUACCCUCAGUUCGGAUUGAGGGCUGCAACUCGCCCUCAUGAAGCUGGAAUCGCUAGUAACCGUAGAUCAGCCUCGCUACGGUGAAUACGUUCUCGGGUUUUGUACACAAAUUAAAGGCGCCUGGCGGCUAUUAAAGCUAAGUGGUUUAAGUCCACUCGCUCGAUUUUCGAGUGUAGCGAACGGGUAGGUCUACUUCCGCGAGGGAUAGACUGAAGGAUCCUAGUAGCAAAGGGCAGCGUGAUCAUAAAAAGAGAGAUACGACCUAUUUUUAGUGCGGUGUGUAAUAGGGAAGUAUCACAAAAAAUCUCGAUCAUGAUGUUUGGAAUAGUAUUAAUGGUUACCCAGGGAGAUCUCAUAAACUUAUGGAAAAUUUAAAAGUUUUGAGAAGUCAGCUGCGUCAUAGUAAGCUUGGUUUAAAAUCAAGCCGAAGGACAAAACCGAUGGUUUCUGAUGAUUAUAUCGUCGGUCUAACAGAUGGAGAAGGAUGUUUCUAUGUUCUAAUAAAGUCACCCUUAAAUAAGGGCGGUGGCGGACGUGUUACUUUGAACUUUUUUAUAAAAGUUCAGGAACAAGAUAAGGCUAUGCUCGAUAAAGUUCGUAACUCUUUAGGUUGCGGAGCAGUAUACUUUCAACCAGAAAGUCGAGAAAAUCAUAGUCAAUGUUACCGUUAUACAGUAAACACACAUAGAGCAAUCCUAGAUGUAAUUAUCCCGUUUUUUCGCAAGCAUCAAUUGCAGAGUUAUUCAAAGAAGAAAAGCUUUGAGUUGUUUUGCAAAAUAGCUAAGCUUGUAGAAAUGGGAAAGCAUCAUUCUAAAUUUGGUCUAGAUCGAAUUCGAUUACUAAAAUCUCAAAUGAACCUUCGGACUCGCGUAGCGCGGUAACGCCGCACACUACGUGGGAAUGCGAAACUAUCAGUUAUCGCAAUCCGCCCGUCACACCAUGGAAGUGGUUAGUACCCAAAAGUCUCGUUAGAGAACUAAGGUAAGAAUCAUGACUGGGGUGAAGUCGUAACAAGGCAUCGGUAGCGGAAGCUGUCGAUGGAUCACCUCCUUUCUA